RNAcentral lists this ribosomal RNA (433 nucleotides) under uncultured bacterium. RNAcentral describes it as "partial 16S ribosomal RNA". It matches the Rfam family "Bacterial small subunit ribosomal RNA", at positions 341 to 792 of the family's 1533-position model. The record is from RNAcentral.
ACGGAGGCAGCAGUGGGGAAUAUUGCACAAUGGGGGAAACCCUGAUGCAGCGACGCCGCGUGAGUGAUGAAGUAUUUCGGUAUGUAAAGCUCUAUCAGCAGGGAAGAUAAUGACGGUACCUGACUAAGAAGCUCCGGCUAAAUACGUGCCAGCAGCCGCGGUAAUACGUAUGGAGCAAGCGUUAUCCGGAUUUACUGGGUGUAAAGGGUGCGUAGGCGGCAUGGCAAGUCAGAUGUGAAAGACCGGGGCUCAACUCCGGGGCUGCAUUUGAAACGGCCAGGCUGGAGUACAGGAGAGGCAGGCGGAAUUCCUAGUGUAGCGGUGAAAUGCGUAGAUAUUAGGAGGAACACCAGUGGCGAAGGCGGCCUGCUGGACUGUUACUGACGCUGAGGCACGAAAGCGUGGGGAGCAAACAGGAUUAGAUACCCUGGUA